Molecule: ribosomal RNA, 250 nt
Filed under: uncultured bacterium
Lineage: Bacteria
Description: partial 16S ribosomal RNA
Rfam family: Bacterial small subunit ribosomal RNA
Source: RNAcentral
UACGUAGGGAGCGAGCGUUGUCCGGAUUUACUGGGUGUAAAGGGUGCGUAGGCGGCCCUGCAAGUCAGGUGUGAAAACCGACGGCUUAACUGUCGGACUGCAUUUGAAACUGUGGGGCUUGAGUGGAGCAAAGGCAGGCGGAAUUCCCGGUGUAGCGGUGAAAUGCGUAGAGAUCGGGAGGAACACCAGUGGCGAAAGCGGCCUGCUGGGCUGUAACUGACACUGAGGCAUGAAAGCGUGGGGAGCAAAC